This 582-nucleotide long non-coding RNA is filed under the name Anser cygnoides (Swan goose). RNAcentral describes it as "lncRNA (ENSACDG00005011291.1)". The record is from RNAcentral. Lineage: Eukaryota; Metazoa; Chordata; Aves; Anseriformes; Anatidae.
CAGACGUGAUUGGGGGGAAUUUGGCCUCCUUGACUUCCCCAGCCUUCUCUCAAUUAUUUGAUGAGAAAGCUUUGAUCCAAGAAACACAGUGGGAUCUGCAAAUCUGCUUUGAACAUUCAUCCUGAGAGUGGUAAUUGAGUUUUCAAUAUUUAUGGCAGGACCUGGAGCUGUACUAGUGAGUGCACUAUCAUCUCUCCCCUGUGGUAGCCUGGCUUAAGACCCAGCUCAGCCAUUAGACCCUUGCAGAGGAGAGCAGGGAGAAGGGGAGGAAACCUCACGGACUUUGGUUCCAGAGGCUGGGAUUCCAGCUGAAGUGCAAGUUGGUGCAAACUCAGGCACUUCCCGGAGAAGACGUGUGUGGUCCCAGCAAGCAAUUAGAUGCUUUUCAGCCUGUGCUUCAUUCUUCUGGCCAAUUUGCAGUCAGUGUCUUCUGAGAGCUUUGAUCAGAGGACAAGGAAGCGAAGCUGGAAAAUGCUGAUUGUAUUGUGCGCUGUCAAGUGGAAACAAAGGCAGACGUUGCACAGGGGCAGCUUCGCUUCCCACGGCGGCUCGGACGCUCCUGAAUGCUGGUGUCACUGCUGA